This 492-nucleotide ribosomal RNA is filed under the name uncultured bacterium. Its description in RNAcentral is "bacterial SSU rRNA". It matches the Rfam family "Bacterial small subunit ribosomal RNA", at positions 30 to 525 of the family's 1533-position model. The record is from RNAcentral.
AUUGAACGCUGGCGGCAGGCUUAACACAUGCAAGUCGAGCGGAUCACUUCGGUGGUUAGCGGCGAACGGGUGAGUAAUACCUAGGAAUCUGCCUAUUAGUGGGGGAUAACGAAUCGAAAGGUUCGCUAAUACCGCAUACGUCCUACGGGAGAAAGAGGGGGAUCUUCGGACCUCUUGCUAAUAGAUGAGCCUAGGUCGGAUUAGCUAGUUGGUAGGGUAAAGGCCUACCAAGGCGACGAUCUGUAGCUGGUCUGAGAGGAUAGCCAGCCACACUGGAACUGAGACACGGUCCAGACUCCUACGGGAGGCAGCAGUGGGGAAUAUUGGACAAUGGGGGCAACCCUGAUCCAGCCAUGCCGCGUGUGUGAAGAAGGCCUUCAGGUUGUAAAGCACUUUAAGCGAGGAGGAAGGUCAUCUUACUAAUAUUAGGAUGAAUUGACGUUACUCGCAGAAUAAGCACCGGCUAACUCUGUGCCAGCCGCCGCAGUAACC